Molecule: ribosomal RNA, 398 nt
Filed under: Bullimyces aurisporus
Lineage: Eukaryota; Fungi; Ascomycota; Sordariomycetes
Description: partial small subunit ribosomal RNA
Rfam family: Eukaryotic small subunit ribosomal RNA
Source: RNAcentral
GCUUGUCUCAAAGAUUAAGCCAUGCAUGUCUAAGUAUAAGCAAUUAUACCGCGAAACUGCGAAUGGCUCAUUAAAUCAGUUAUCGUUUAUUUGAUAGUACCUUACUACUUGGAUAACCGUGGUAAUUCUAGAGCUAAUACAUGCUAAAAAUCCCGACUCACGGAGGGAUGUGUUUAUUAGAUUAAAAACCAAUGCCCUUCGGGGCUCACUGGUGAUUCAUGAUAACCUCUCGAAUCGCAUGGCCUUGCGCCGGCGAUGGUUCAUUCAAAUUUCUGCCCUAUCAACUUUCGAUGGCUGGGUCUUGGCCAGCCAUGGUGACAACGGGUAACGGAGGGUUAGGGCUCGACCCCGGAGAAGAAGCAUGAGAAUCGGCUUCUACAUCCAAGGAAGGCAGCAGG